This 253-nucleotide ribosomal RNA is filed under the name uncultured bacterium. RNAcentral's name for it is "partial 16S ribosomal RNA". It matches the Rfam family "Archaeal small subunit ribosomal RNA", at positions 474 to 727 of the family's 1478-position model. The record is from RNAcentral.
UACCAGCACCCCGAGUGGUCGGGACGAUUAUUGGGCCUAAAGCAUCCGUAGCCGGUUCUACAAGUCUUCCGUUAAAUCCACCUGCUUAACAGAUGGGCUGCGGAGGAUACUAUGGAGCUAGGAGGCGGGAGAGGCAAGCGGUACUUAGUGGGUAGGGGUAAAAUCCGUUGAUCCAUUGAAGACCACCAGUGGCGAAGGCGGCUUGCCAGAACGCACUCGACGGUGAGGGAUGAAAGCUGGGGGAGCAAGCCGG